This 407-nucleotide ribosomal RNA is filed under the name uncultured bacterium. Its description in RNAcentral is "bacterial SSU rRNA". It matches the Rfam family "Bacterial small subunit ribosomal RNA", at positions 355 to 776 of the family's 1533-position model. The record is from RNAcentral.
UGGGGAAUAUUGCACAAUGGGGGGAACCCUGAUGCAGCAACGCCGCGUGAAGGAAGACGGUUUUCGGAUUGUAAACUUCUAUCGACAGGGAAGAAGAAAGUGACAGUACCUGAAUAAGAAGCCCCGGCUAACUACGUGCCAGCAGCCGCGGUAAUACGUAGGGGGCAAGCGUUAUCCGGAAUUACUGGGUGUAAAGGGUGAGUAGGCGGCAUGGUAAGCCAGAUGUGAAAGCCCGCAGCUUAACUGCGGGAUUGCAUUUGGAACUACUAAGCUAGAGUACAGGAGAGGAAAGCGGAAUUCCUAGUGUAGCGGUGAAAUGCGUAGAUAUUAGGAAGAACACCGGUGGCGAAGGCGGCUUUCUGGACUGAAACUGACGCUGAGGCACGAAAGCGUGGGGAGCGAACAGG